AUUCCUACGGGAAGCAGCAGUAGGGAAUCUUCCACAAUGGACGAAAGUCUGAUGGAGCAAUACCAUGUGAACGACGAAGGUCUUUUUGAUUGUAAAGUUCUUUUAUGAGGGAUAACAACUGAUAGUACCUCAUGAAUAAGUGACAGCAAACUAUGUGCCAGCAGCUGCGGUAAUACAUAGGUCGCAAGCAUUAUUCGGAUUUAUUGGGCGUAAAGCAAGCGCAGGCGGAUGUGUAAGUUCUGUGUUAAAAGUAGCUACUUAAUAG
This 265-nucleotide ribosomal RNA is filed under the name Candidatus Mycoplasma haematobovis. RNAcentral describes it as "Candidatus Mycoplasma haemobos partial 16S ribosomal RNA". It matches the Rfam family "Bacterial small subunit ribosomal RNA", at positions 335 to 615 of the family's 1533-position model. Lineage: Bacteria; Bacillati; Mycoplasmatota; Mollicutes; Mycoplasmatales; Mycoplasmataceae. The record is from RNAcentral.